UACAUACUUGCCUAAUUGGUAAAGGCGCUUGACUCAUAAUCAAGUUAACUCCUUAACUGGAGUUUUGCGGGUUCAAAUCCCGUGUGUGAACCA
RNAcentral lists this transfer RNA (93 nucleotides) under Oxynema aestuarii AP17. RNAcentral's name for it is "Oxynema sp. AP17 tRNA-Met". It matches the Rfam family "tRNA". Rfam says of the family: Transfer RNA (tRNA) molecules are approximately 80 nucleotides in length. Their secondary structure includes four short double-helical elements and three loops (D, anti-codon, and T loops). Further hydrogen bonds mediate the characteristic L-shaped molecular structure. tRNAs have two regions of fundamental functional importance: the anti-codon, which is responsible for specific mRNA codon recognition, and the 3' end, to which the tRNAs corresponding amino acid is attached (by aminoacyl-tRNA synthetases). tRNAs cope with the degeneracy of the genetic code in two manners: having more than one tRNA (with a specific anti-codon) for a particular amino acid; and 'wobble' base-pairing, i.e. permitting non-standard base-pairing at the 3rd anti-codon position. Lineage: Bacteria; Bacillati; Cyanobacteriota; Cyanophyceae; Oscillatoriales; Oscillatoriaceae. The record is from RNAcentral.